Molecule: ribosomal RNA, 116 nt
Organism: Lepisosteus oculatus (spotted gar)
Lineage: Eukaryota; Metazoa; Chordata; Actinopteri; Semionotiformes; Lepisosteidae
Source: Ensembl
GCCAGCAACCAUAUCACCCUGCAACUCACAACUGGCAACCCACUGAAGCUAAGCAUGUGUGAGCCUGGUCAGUACCUGGAUGGGAGACCUCCUGGGAAAAACUAAGGUUGCUGGUG